GUACAAGUUAAAAUUAUCAAUUGGGUUGGUGACAUAUAUCAAGUGCAAAUGCCUGUCUGGUGGGAAGAUAUUAUAGUAUUGCUACAACGGUAUGGAUUCAAUAGACAGGCAGCAGUAAAGAUGAUGUUACUUAUAAAACUUCAUCAAGCUAAAGAAGCGACGAUUGUAAUAGAAUAUCCAGAAGCAAACCAAUUACACUUUGAAAGCUUAUCGAGUUUAAGGAAAUAUUCUUCUGGAGAUAUCGUUCAGUGGCCAUCAUUAAAGAAAGUGACUUUGAACGAUUGUCCCAACAUAACAAAGUCUGGUUUGGGAAGAACAAAAUCAGUAAUCUUGGAAAAUCAAGCAUCUCUGGCAGAUAUUUUUGAAUCAUGGGAUGAUGAGUUUUCAACGAUUGUUGAAUAUGAGAUUGGUGACACUGAGGAAUUACACAAAAGAAUGUACAACCUUCGACCUUCACAUUUCACUAACAUUGUAGUGUUUCGAGCAAAAAACUGUGAUGAAAACUUGACUGAAUUUAUAUAUAUUUUGAUGAAGAGGUCAAAAAAGCUUCAAGUUAUUGAAAUUCGGUGUUGUAAAACAUCACGAUAUCUAUUUGAAAUUUUGGAUCCUACUUUUUUGGGUGAAGAGUAUUUGAGAGGAAUAAAGGAAUUAAAGGUAAUCCAAGUAUAUGAGAUGGUGUCAUUAUGCAGUUGGGAUGUUGCAGAAUAUUUGGACUUCAAAAGUCUGCAAAUUGUACACCUCAAAAGUUGUCCCUCUAUAAAGGUUCUAUUCUAUCCAUCAUCCUUUUCCACACGGCUUUACGAACUAAAGGAAUUAAAGUUAGAGGCAUGUGAGGAUUUAGAGCAAGUAGUAGAUGAAUACUUCGAAUAUUCUUUGUCCUUCCCAAGAUUAAGUAAAGUGGAGCUAAAGUCUCUCUCAAAAUUCAGGAGGUUUACCAAAAUUGGGAGAGAUUUUUCAAGUUUGAAAACUUUGAUAAUAGAAGAAUGUCCUUGUUUAGAAGAGUUUACAGUAAACCAAGCAAUUUUAGUAGAUUUCUUAGAUCUAACGAAUAAAGCUUUACCUGAGUUGGAUGAAUUGAGAUUAGAUGGUUGUGACGUGUUGCUCUACGUAGCCUUCUUUAAGACACCGUCCGAGAAGAUGAAAUUGAAGAAAGUCUUUGUGAGUAAUUGCUAUGCAUUGAAAAUGGUAAUACUGGUGAAGGAAAUACCUAACUCUAUAGAGCUCCUCCACGAAUUAGAUGAAUUGAUUUUGAUUAAUCUUCCUAAUUUAACUCACAUCAUCGACAAAGAAUGUGUUAGGUUAUAUCAAAAUCUACGUACUCUACAAGUAGAAAGAUGUGGGUUUCUUCAUUGGUUGCCAAUUCCUCUAACUUUAACAAAUAUGAAAAUUUUGGAUUGUGAUUCUUUGCAUAAGACCGUGGUCAUCAGAAAAGAAAAGGAAGAAAAAGAAAAAGUCAUUUUUUCUCAAUUAAAGGAGGUUACUCUUCAAAAUCUAAGAAAUUUGUAUACUGCAUUUCCUUUUGGGUCAGAAUUUCCAUCCUUGGAAAUACUGAAAAUAACAAAUUGUCCUUCUCUAAUCACAUUUGUUGAAGAACGCAAUGAUUUGAAAGAGCAUAAAGAACAAGCUGUUUCAACAUGUUUCUUUCCAAAUUCGUUGUCAUUGGAAAAGUUGAAGGUGCUUUAUAUAAUAGAUCAAGAUAUUAAAGAGCUUUGGCACUAUAGUUUGUCUUCUGAAUCAUUUUGUCAGAUAGAAAAUUUGACUUUAAGCAACAAUAAUAAAUUGUUAAGUGUCAUCUCUUCUAGACUGAUCAUAAGAUUCAACAACAUGAAAGAUUUCACUUUAGACAAAUGUGAAUCAUUGAUUACAAUAUUCAUUCUUGAAGAUGAUCAUCCUAUGCAAGAAAUGUUUCCUCAACUGCGGAAAAUAUCAUUGAGCAACCUAAAUAAUUUGAAAUUUAUAUGGAACAAAGAACCUAAUGUUCCAUUCUUCUCAAAUUUGGCGUCACUUUUCAUUGUCCAUUGUGAUAGCAUUGAAAGUUUAUUUUCACUUUCUUCCUCCAAAUAUCUUAAGAAACUCAAAUUACUGAGGCUGUAUAGUUGUAAAGAACUAAAGCAAGUGAUCUCGAGUGAUGAAGAUGAAAAUGCAUCUACCAAUUUUCCCCAAAUGAAAUGUCUAGUAUUGAAGGAUCUUCCAAAGUUGGUGAAUUUCAGUCAUUAUCAUGGAACUCUUGAUUGGCCUAGUUUACAAACUUUAAGGGUUAGCAAUGUUCCAAGUAUGAAAAUAUUUUCAAGAGGCAACAUCAACACACCAUUGUUGAGAUCAAUAGAUAUAACAUUUAUUAAGAAGCUUUGGUUUGAAAAUCUAAAUAAGACUAUAUCAUUUAUUUACAACAAUCCAGAAUUAAU
This 2405-nucleotide small RNA is filed under the name Vigna angularis var. angularis. RNAcentral describes it as "Non-protein coding transcript". Lineage: Eukaryota; Viridiplantae; Streptophyta; Magnoliopsida; Fabales; Fabaceae. The record is from RNAcentral.